Molecule: non-coding RNA, 305 nt
Filed under: Selaginella bryopteris
Lineage: Eukaryota; Viridiplantae; Streptophyta; Lycopodiopsida; Selaginellales; Selaginellaceae
Source: RNAcentral
GUUUUAUUGGGGCUGGUCCGGUAUUAGUUGGGGCCCAAACUGGGUACACAGGUUGUACCUGAAAACCCUAAACCGGUCGUACAUGUGCCUCAAUGGGUGCAGUUUCCGUACAUGCGGGGUUUUCCGUCCGGCCCUUUCCCCGUUUCAAAACAAAACAAGGGCUGAUGCACGGGGACCCACUGCUGCUGGGCCAGAAUAUACUCUCACUGUGGAGGGGGCUAUGUCUACGGUGUUCUAUCUCGGUGUGUCCGAGCUCUGGGUCCUCCGGACACUGGCUGCACCCCAAUAAGAACCCACAGAUCGGA